GAUGAACGCUGGCGGCGUGCCUAAUACAUGCAAGUCGAGCGAACAGACGAGGAGCUUGCUCCUCUGACGUUAGCGGCGGACGGGUGAGUAACACGUGGAUAACCUACCUAUCAGACUGGGAAAACUUCGGGAAACCGGAGCUAAUACCGGAUAAUAUAUUGAACCGCAUGGGUCAAUAGAGAAAGACGGCUUUGCUGUCACUUAUAGAUGGAUCCGCGCCGCAUUAGCUAGUUGGUAAGGUAACGGCUUACCAAGGCAACGAUGCGUAGCCGACCUGAGAGGGUGAUCGGCCACACUGGAACUGAGACGCGGUCCAGACUCCUACGGGAGGCAGCAGUAGGCAAUCUUCCGCAGUGGGCGAAAGCCUGGCGGAGCAGCGCCGCGUGAGUUAUGACGGUCUUCGGAUCGUACUACUCUGUUAUUAGUGAUGAACAACUGUGUAAGUAACUAUGCACGGCGUGACGGUAACUAAUCAAAAAGCCACGGCUAACUACGUG
This 497-nucleotide ribosomal RNA is filed under the name uncultured bacterium. RNAcentral describes it as "partial 16S ribosomal RNA". It matches the Rfam family "Bacterial small subunit ribosomal RNA", at positions 28 to 507 of the family's 1533-position model. The record is from RNAcentral.